GACGAACGCUGGCGGCGUGCUUAACACAUGCAAGUCGAACGGAAAGGCCCUGCUUUUGUGGGGUGCUCGAGUGGCGAACGGGUGAGUAACACGUGAGUAACCUGCCCUUGACUUUGGGAUAACUUCAGGAGACUGGGGCUAAUACCGGAUAGGAGCUCCUGCUGCAUGGUGGGGGUUGGAAAGUUUCGGCGGUUGGGGAUGGACUCGCGGCUUAUCAGCUUGUUGGUGGGGUAGUGGCUUACCAAGGCAUUGACGGGUAGCCGGCCUGAGAGGGUGACCGGCGACCUUGGGACUGAGGGACGGCCCAGUCUGCUACGGGGGGCAACAGGGGGAAAUAUUGCACAAUGGGCGCAAGCCUGAUGCGGAAGCGCGGGGUGCGGGAUGACGGCUUUCGGGUUGAAAACCGCUUUCGCCUGUGACGAAGCGGGACUGACGGUAAUGGAUAAAGAAGCACCGGCUAACUACGUG
This 468-nucleotide ribosomal RNA is filed under the name uncultured bacterium. RNAcentral's name for it is "partial 16S ribosomal RNA". It matches the Rfam family "Bacterial small subunit ribosomal RNA", at positions 28 to 507 of the family's 1533-position model. The record is from RNAcentral.